UUUUCUAAUAAAUGGCCCAACAAGCCAACUCUUUGAUGAAAAAGAAAAAAAAAACAAUCUUGAUUCCUGAGGACUCUAUUAAUGUGGCGAUAACAAUGUUCGAUCUUCAUAAACUAAUUAAGAACCACACAUCAUCACUGUUUUCCCUAUAAGCAGGUUGAGCUUGACGAUUCAUGAUUCCGAUUUUGCCACACAUCAAUCAACGCAGCAAGAAUAUCAUACACCAGUUGCUGCUGCAGAACCACAAUUUUCCACCUGGGUCCAGUCCUGACGGGAGGUGAGAGCCUCAGGAGGAAAUGUUUGGCCACGUAUUCCAUAAUGUAUCCACUAUUAAAAGAAUUUGGGAAUAUUUUAAUUCCUAUGCAAGCAUAUCCACAGGAGGUUUACAACUUCAGCAGGUUAUUCUUCAAUGAUGGACGACUAAUGUUCUUUCUAGACUCGAACCAAUAUUUUAGCCAGUUUCGACCAUUAUUAUUUGGAGGUUGUGGAAGAAAAGGAAUAGCAACAAGCACGGAGAGAAUAGCAACAAGCACGGAGAGAAGGUUACUCAGGUGCGUUGGAAUUUACCUUCAGAUAAUUGGUUAAAAUUAAACAUGGAUGGAUUGUGCAGAGGUAAUCUAGGUAGAAGGUCUUAUGCUUUUUGUAUUAGAGAUCUUCUUGGUGAUUUGGUAUAUGCAGAAGCAAAGGAAAUCAGAGAAGGCACAAACAUAUUUUCAGAGACUACAACAAUUCUAGAGGCUAGCUGCUAGAUAUUGUGUAGCUCAUAACUUGUUUAAUUUGAUAUUAGAAACUGAUUCUUUAUUUUUGAAAAA
Molecule: long non-coding RNA, 812 nt
Organism: Capsicum annuum
Lineage: Eukaryota; Viridiplantae; Streptophyta; Magnoliopsida; Solanales; Solanaceae
Exons: 3
Source: RefSeq, a predicted model, not a curated record